RNAcentral lists this ribosomal RNA (406 nucleotides) under uncultured bacterium. Its description in RNAcentral is "partial 16S ribosomal RNA". It matches the Rfam family "Bacterial small subunit ribosomal RNA", at positions 30 to 526 of the family's 1533-position model. The record is from RNAcentral.
AUUGAACGCUGGCGGCAGGCCUAACACAUGCAAGUCGAGCGAGCGGCGGACGGGUGAGUCAUGUCUGGGAAACUGCCUGAUGGAGGGGGAUAACUACUGGAAACGGUAGUUAAUCAUGCAUACCAUUGGAUGUGCCCAGAUGGGAUUAGCUAGUAGGUGGGGUAACGGCUCACCCAGGCGACGAUCCCUAGCUGGUCUGAGAGGAUGACCAGCCACACUGGAACUGAGACACGGUCCAGACUCCUACGGGAGGCAGCAGUGGGGAAUAUUGCACAAUGGGCGCAAGCCUGAUCCAGCCAUGCCGCGUGUGUGAAGAAGGUCUUCGGAUUGUAAAGCACUUUCAGCGGGGAGGCGUUACCCGCAGAAGAAGCACCGGCUAACUCCGUGCCAGCAGCCGCGGUAAUUC